RNAcentral lists this ribosomal RNA (307 nucleotides) under uncultured bacterium. RNAcentral describes it as "bacterial SSU rRNA". It matches the Rfam family "Bacterial small subunit ribosomal RNA", at positions 28 to 334 of the family's 1533-position model. The record is from RNAcentral.
GACGAACGCUGGCGGCGUGCCUAACACAUGCAAGUCGAACGGGACUUGCCCCUUCGGGGACAAGUUUAGUGGCGAACGGGUGAGUAACGCGUGAGGAACCUGCCUUUCAGUGGGGGAUAACAGUUGGAAACGGCUGCUAAUACCGCAUAAGCGCACAGUACCGCAUGGUACGGUGUGAAAAACUCCGGUGGUAUGAGAUGGACCCGCGUCUGAUUAGCUAGUUGGUGGGGUAACGGCCUACCAAGGCGACGAUCAGUAGCCGACCUGAGAGGGUGACCGGCCACAUUGGGACUGAGACACGGCCCAA